This 117-nucleotide signal recognition particle RNA is filed under the name Pan paniscus (pygmy chimpanzee). RNAcentral describes it as "Metazoan signal recognition particle RNA". It matches the Rfam family "Metazoan signal recognition particle RNA". Rfam says of the family: The signal recognition particle (SRP) is a universally conserved ribonucleoprotein. It is involved in the co-translational targeting of proteins to membranes. The record is from Rfam by way of RNAcentral. Lineage: Eukaryota; Metazoa; Chordata; Mammalia; Primates; Hominidae. RNAcentral also lists the same sequence under 1 other name.
GCUGGGCAUGGUGGCUCAUGCCUGUAAUCCCAGCACUUUGGGAGGCUGAGGUGGGUGGAUCACCUGAGGUCAGGAGUUCGAGACCAGCCUGGCCAACAUGGUGAAACCCCAUCUCUA